GGGAGAGGUAGUUAUCUGGACCGGGUCAUAUGGUAGUAGUGGACUAUAUAGGGGAGAGGUAGUUAUCUGGACCGGGCCCUGACAGUAGUAGUGAACUAUAUAGGGGAGAGGUAGUUAUCUGGACCGGGCCCUGACAGUAGUAGUGGACUAUAUAGGGGAGAGGUAGUUAUCUGGACCGGGCCAUAUGGUAGUAGUGGACUAUAUAGGGGAGAGGUAGUUAUCUGGACCGGGCCCUGACAGUAGUAGUGAACUAUAUAGGGGAGAGGUAGUUAUCUGGACCGGGCCAUAUGGUAGUAGUGGACUAUAUAGGGGAGAGGUAGUUAUCUGGACCGGGCCCUGACAGUAGUAGUGGAC
Oncorhynchus keta (chum salmon) is the source of this 354-nucleotide long non-coding RNA. RefSeq lists it as uncharacterized. NCBI's taxonomy places the organism in Eukaryota, Metazoa, Chordata, Actinopteri, Salmoniformes, Salmonidae. The transcript is spliced from 4 exons. The record is from RefSeq and is a predicted model, not a curated record.